Molecule: non-coding RNA, 457 nt
Organism: Oryctolagus cuniculus (rabbit)
Lineage: Eukaryota; Metazoa; Chordata; Mammalia; Lagomorpha; Leporidae
Source: RefSeq, a predicted model, not a curated record
CAGGAUGUAAUGAUUUUUCUACAGUUCACAGAGGUCCAACAGUCUUCAUCUAUGCAGUCACUUUUCUCUGUGAGAAAAGAAAUCAGCUAUGUGCUUCCUUUGAUCUCAUAGUGGAGUCUUCCCAUGGCCAUACCUCCUGAAGUACAGUUUCUUCUAUUCACAAGCAUUACCAAGAUGCAUGGUAUACCUGUUUGAUUCACUGGGGCUUUUAAGACUUUUCUCUUCAACAGUGCAGAAUGUGAACACGCCCAGACUUUUCAGCCUUACAGAUAUUAUCAGGAAUUCCUUGAAAAUAUGGAGAUGCUUUUAAAAUAAUUGGCCCCUGCCUGACAUGGAGACCGACAAGUCACAAGGCCCACCUCGAUGCUUCUCCUGCUGUGCCCAUCCCUCAUUUCGGGAGCAAUAACUGAGUUCUUUAUAACUGGACAACCUGCCUAGGAGCUCCAGAGCUUGCGUG